UGAGGAAUAUUGGGCAAUGCCCGCAAGGGUGACCCAGCAACGCCGCGUGGAGGAUGAAUGUCGUAAGAUUGUAAACUCCUGUUAGAGGGGAAGAAUAGUACCGGUUGGACCGGUAUAUGACUGUACCCUCAGAGAAAGCCCCGGCUAACUACGUGCCAGCAGCCGCGGUAAUACGUAGGGGGCAAGCGUUGUCCGGAUUUACUGGGUGUAAAGGGCGCGCAGGCGGAAUGGAAAGUCAGUGGUGAAAUCCUACAGCUUAACUGUAGAACUGCCUUUGAUACUUUCAUUCUUGAGUUCGGGAGAGAGAGACGGAAUUCCAGGUGCAGUGGUGAAGUACGUAGAUAUCUGGAAGAACACCAGUUGCGAAGGCGGUCUCUUGGUCCGAUACUGACGCUGAGGCGCGAAAGCGUGGGGAGCAAACA
This 422-nucleotide ribosomal RNA is filed under the name uncultured bacterium. RNAcentral describes it as "bacterial SSU rRNA". It matches the Rfam family "Bacterial small subunit ribosomal RNA", at positions 355 to 774 of the family's 1533-position model. The record is from RNAcentral.